This 1072-nucleotide long non-coding RNA is filed under the name Monodelphis domestica (gray short-tailed opossum). RNAcentral's name for it is "lncRNA (ENSMODG00000031118.2)". The record is from RNAcentral. Lineage: Eukaryota; Metazoa; Chordata; Mammalia; Didelphimorphia; Didelphidae.
GUAGGGGGAACCGCAUGGCCAGUGGCCAGAGAAAAUUUUCCCAUAAUUCCCUUGGGCUUGGACUCAGGCUAUUGUAGAAUCUAUAGAAUGGGCACUCUGUGGCCAAAGUUCUGGGCUCUUGUUCCUUAUCCACUCCUGGCUGUGUGAAUUUGGGCAAGUCUGUAAUCUCUCUGAAUCACACUUUCCCAGAGAGGAUCACCUGUACCUCCCAGGUGUGUGGUGAGGAUGAAGGAGAAUGUGUCUGUAAAGCUACUGGAGGAGAAAUCCUGAAUAAAAACGCUGUUGCCAUAACAAUGCUCUCUGUCAGGGCCUGGUUGGGAUCACAAAGAUGAUACAGGAUUUUAGAGGAAGCUUUAAGACCCCCAAUGAAGUCACAGACUGAGAAAGUCUGGAUGAGGGAGCCUGACUGCAGCUGAAGAACAUCAGACAGAAGAUUUAAAAAAGGGGAGAGAGACAAGAGAAAGAGAAACAAGAGUCACACAGAGAGAAGAGAGUCAGAGAUUCAGAAAGAGACAGAGACAGAGAGACAGAGAAGGAAAGAAAGAAGCAAAUGGAACUCUAGAGCUCAGACCAAGGAGCCAAUUAGAAAGGAAGGGAUUUUUAAGAGGCCCUGGCUUAGAGCAUAAAAUCAAAUGGAUGGAGGUUUUGAGCUGUCACCUAGUCCAGACUCCUGCCUCGACAUACAAUGAAAACAGACAGCUGAAUUUCUGCUUUGCUUUUAAAGAACUCUGGAAAUUGAUAACCUGCCCCAGUGAUCAAUUCUUAUUGCUGAAUGGAACACCAUCCUUGGUAGUUGCUCAACAUAGUCAAACUGGUAGCUGCGCAAUGGGUCAUGAAGAGUAACCAAUCCUGUUCCUCUGCCCAGUUGUUAGAGAAGCAAGAUGGGGAAGACCUGUUCUUGAACCAAUCAAGUAUCUCCCUUCUUUGUUCAUAAGCUAACUGCUCCCAGGGAUUCAAUUCUUCUCCAUUUGAGGCUUUAUUUGGGAGACAUUGUUUUAAUACAGUCACUCACGCACUUUUAUCCUUGGCAAGACUUUUUUUUCCUCUAAUAGAGGAGCAGAAGGAAGGGGGU